RNAcentral lists this ribosomal RNA (421 nucleotides) under uncultured delta proteobacterium. Its description in RNAcentral is "bacterial SSU rRNA". It matches the Rfam family "Bacterial small subunit ribosomal RNA", at positions 9 to 418 of the family's 1533-position model. The record is from RNAcentral. Lineage: Bacteria; Deltaproteobacteria.
GAGUUUGAUCGUGGCUCAGAGCGAACGUUAGCGGCGCGCCUAACACAUGCAAGUCGAGCGCGAAAGGGAGCAAUCCUGAGUAAAGCGGCGCACGGGUGCGUAACACGUAGGUAACCUGCCCUAUGGAGGGGGAUAACGUUCCGAAAGGAGCGCUAAUACCGCAUACAGCGCCUUGGGGAAACCUGGGGCGGCAAAGGUUGGGAUUCGCAAGAACCAAUCGCCAUGGGAGGGGCCUGCGGCCCAUCAGUUAGUUGGUGAGGUAAAGGCUCACCAAGACGAAGACGGGUAGCUGGUCUGAGAGGAUGAUCAGCCACACUGGUACUGGAACACGGACCAGACUCCUACGGGAGGCAGCAGUGGGGAAUCUUGGUCAAUGGGCGCAAGCCUGAACCAGCGACGCCGCGUGAGUGAUGAAGGCCUU